CCAAUAUAUAGAAGAUUGCUUAGCUCUGAUAAGAGAGACAGGGAUAUGUCAGAAAGGUGUCUACUGAAGAUUAGAUCCACAAUCAUACCUUCUCCAAUAGAUCUCUCCAAGGUACUCGCUUCUCUAUUCUCUCUUUUUUAUUGAUCUUUGUCUUCUGGUCCAGGUGGUUAACCUCUGUCAUGAAAACGCACUGACAUGAUUUGGACUAAUUAAAAAUAUGAUUGCUAGCUAGGGGUAAAGUCAUGUUUAAAGGUUUACAAACACAUAUAGGAAAAGAGAUAAGGGUCUUGACUUAUAUUGUGAAAGAGGGCCAGAAAAUAUUCUAUGGAUUGUAAGCUCAUAUUAUCUUGUAUUUGAGCCUUCUCUUGAUGGUUGUUUCUAGAAUGGAUGACAAGGUUAAGAUUAAGAGUGGCUGCAUGAAAUUGCAUUAUACAUGGAUUAUGCUGUUGUAUGCAACAUAUAUAUAUAUAUAUAUAUGCACAUAUAAAUUUCCUUUUUGUUUCUUAUCUUCCAAAACCAGGUACUUGUCAGAGAUUUAAAGACAAAGUUGCUCACUGGGAUGCAUGAUAUGCUAUCAGUGGUAUGAAGAUUCAAACUAUUCAAGCAUGGGGAUGGUAUAUCCGCUUACUAGGGUCUCAUGCAUGCCUUGAAGAACAGACAUUUAAUUAAUGAUAUGCUGAAAAUUCCCAAGAAAACAUUUUCAGAUAACGACUCACAAGUUCAGAUUGCUUCCCAGGUUGGCUGUGAAGGUCUUAUUAAUGCUCUUAUUCACCCUCCAAUGUUAUUACCGUGUGCGACAAAUGCUGCAGAAGAGGAUGAUGGUACCAAAAAAAGGGAACACAACGGAAAUAGUGGUGAAAUCCAAAACACUAGAUCUUUGAAAAGCGUAAGGCUGAUCAUGACACCACUAAUAGGCAUCAUGUUGAGUAACUGCGAUGUAUCUGUCCGCAUGUCUUGCUUGAACACAUGGUGUUAUCUAUUACCUAGACUUGAUACCUCUCUGAAUGAUUCUUCAAUGAUUAACCGGGUAGUAGACCCUAUGUUUGAAGCAGCUUUUCAACUUGAUCCUAAUGGUAAGAGCUUCUGGGCUACGGAUCCGUGUGUCAGUUUGCUUGAUGAUUUUAUAUCAGCAAAAUGUUCUGAUUUUGGCAAGGACAAAUCAUUGAAGUUCCUGCAGCUCUGGAUCUAUCGAAGGCCUGGAGGAGUACUAGAUAUUUGUGUGUACAUGUUUGAACUCUAGGUUAGGCUAUUAGUUUCAGACUUUCAGUUAUGUUAGUUUGCUUGUUUUGAUUUCUCAUACGUUUACGGACCAAUUUUCUGUCCGUAAAGUUUGGCCACUUUUUCUGUGUUUGUAGUGUCUAUAAACUGUGUUUCUUAAAAUGAUUUCUCUAGAGCUGCCUAGGUUGUAAGUGGAAGAUAAACUAGGGAAAGAAGAGCCAAGCAGCCUAUCGACUCAUCCUGUAUAGAUUACUUGUAGUUUACCACUUUACUAGGCAUGUGCAUAUUAAUGUAAUCAUGAUUUCUUACCAGGUACUUCCAGUAAUUAAUCUAAAGUUCUUGAUCACCUUUAUAUUGUAAAAAGUGUUAUCAUAAGCAUAAGCAUCCAAAUAUUUGCUUUGAAGGACAGAGAUGCCAAGAUUAAGUAUUGCUUGGGAACUUAGUGUUCCAUGAUUGGUCUUUCUGAUUGAUAUAUAUGCGCAGAUGAUGUGACGUUGAAUCUAAUUUGCAGGCCAAAAUUCUCAUGGAAAAACUUCAGGAGCAUACAAAUGGUGAGUGAUGUAUUAUAUUUCCUUUUCAAUGAAGAUUUGAACCUCUGAUCCCACUGUUAUUUAGAACAAUUUUUGUACCAGUUCUUUAGCACAACCUUUAAGUAGCACACUAGCACACUAUGUUACUUCUUUUCAAAUGCAAGUCUUGAUGCUAGGAUAGGAAUGUCUUGUAAGCUCAAUGGCAGGCCAAUGCUAGGAUAGGAAUGUCUUGUGAAAACAGAAGAACAAAUGGAAUAUAAGUACGGCGAGGCUUGCUUUCGUUUCUGUUUCUAGUAUUAUGUACCAUUUAGACUUAAAUUUUUGUUUUAUUUCGACAUGUUAUGCAUAGAAAUACUUGGGAUGUUGUUAUGUACUUUGAGCAUCAACAUUAAUCAAAAAUUAUUUACUUACGA
Rosa rugosa (rugosa rose) is the source of this 2161-nucleotide RNA transcript. RefSeq lists it as uncharacterized. The record is from RefSeq and is a predicted model, not a curated record. Lineage: Eukaryota; Viridiplantae; Streptophyta; Magnoliopsida; Rosales; Rosaceae. The transcript is spliced from 5 exons.